RNAcentral lists this ribosomal RNA (254 nucleotides) under uncultured bacterium. RNAcentral describes it as "partial 16S ribosomal RNA". It matches the Rfam family "Bacterial small subunit ribosomal RNA", at positions 524 to 776 of the family's 1533-position model. The record is from RNAcentral.
UACGUAGGGUGCGAGCGUUAAUCGGAAUUACUGGGCGUAAAGAGCGCGCAGGCGGUCGUUCAAGUCGAGUGUGAAAGCCCCCGGCUCAACUGGGGAGGGUCACUCGAUACUGAUCGACUCGAAGGCAGGAGAGGGAAGCGGAAUUCCCGGUGUAGUGGUGAAAUGCGUAGAUAUCGGGAGGAACACCAGUGGCGAAGGCGGCUUUCUGGCCUGCCUCUUGACGCUGAGGCGCGAAAGCUAGGGUAGCAAACGGG